UGGCUGAAAGACGUUGCCUAACGAUUGUCUAGGUGGCUGUGGCUGUGGCUAAGGCUAUUGAUUUUGUGUUUCAACAAUGCGGGUGAAAAAUGCUCAAAAUUAUAUUGCACGAAAGCUGAAAUUAUAAAGGCUGGCAUUACGGCGGGUCCGUACAGGGUGCCCUGCUUAAACUGCCUCCUUACAGCGAAUAUGUGUUUAAAUGGGUUAAACUAGAACUGAGGGAAAACUUAAAAUUACUGCUCAAGCUAGACUUUAAAUUUGUCACCCAAAUUGCGUAAACACCGCACAUCUGCAUAGAUAAAGGUGGACGAUUUUUGGUUGUGUUUUUGUUGGUCUUCGGUAAAUUUGUUGUCAGAAAAAUCCCGGAUCGGAUCAUCCCUCGUUCCUUGCAAAUCCUUGAUAUUUCAAAGACCCAACCUGAACCUACCCAUUUCAACAUUUCAACAACUGCUGCUCGGAACCCACGUACAGCACGCAAUCAACUGUAGCGCAAUGGCCACGCAACAACCAGCAAAGAAUAAAAAAAUCACUUUUAUGGCAAAGAUCAAACUGGCAGAAAAACAACAGCGACGACGAAAAUACGUUACCAAGGUAGGCCGACGACGAUCACUUCAACUGACGUUGUUGCCUUUGCACAGAGAAAAAUGUAAUCUUCGUAAUCUCAAUCUCGACUUAUCAGAAACAUAUAAUUAAAAUAUAAAAAUUAAAUUGAAGUAUACGUUGCUGCUAUUUACGUUUUAAAUACUUUGUAGCUGUUGAUUGUAAUUUGGCUGAUAUAUAUCUAUAUGCUCUAAUGGAAAUACCUUGUGAGCAACAACUUACUGCCCGUUUUCGCUCAGUGUACUGCUGCUGCGUGGCAGCGACAACAACAGCAACGUCGACAUCAACAGAGGCAACAACAACAGCAGCAGCGACAGCGAACAGCAAAGAAAUGGCCGUUAAAGUUGCCAGGCAAAUGGCAAAAGUCAGGGGCGUAGCUCGAUCCAGGGAUUGCCCCACUGUUCCAGAAGAAAAGACGGGGCUUGAGCUCCCCUUUCGAGCGGGACGUGAGCAGUUCCCUUGGCACGUUUUUCGGUUUUUUCUCCUUGUUUAAUUUUAUUUUUCUUGAUUUCUUCUUGUAUUUUUUGGCGUGGCCGACGACGCCCGUUUGCCAUCAUAAAAGAAGUCAAUUGAAUUUAAAUUUAAAGUACAUAAUGGCCAAGUGAAGGAGGAGAGUUGCCCGAACCGAGGGGAGGGGUGGAGAGUGGCGAAGGCAACGCUGCCGCCUUUCCAAUUUCACAAAGUCAUCCGUGUGGUUUUUGUUGCUGGAGCUGGCUUUUUGCUGUUGGGGCCUCAAACUCUUUUUGUUGUUGUUCUCUGUGUGGGAUUCAAGACUAUGUAUAGGCAUAUACAGGUAUACGUACUUCAUGUACAAGGCCCAGGCACGCAAGGCUUUUGGCUUUCCAGCAAGAGAUACAUCCAUGUGUAGCGACGACCGUUGCUCUUUUGAUUUAAACGUGCUUAAAUUUAAAGAUCAAAUUGCUUGCGUUGCGUUUACGUUUUCGGGGACCUUUCGGGGGAGGGCUAUUUAUCGGUAGGCCCAGGAAUUUUAAAUUGUAGACAGGCAA
This is a long non-coding RNA of Drosophila biarmipes, 1607 nucleotides long. RefSeq lists it as uncharacterized. The record is from RefSeq and is a predicted model, not a curated record. The transcript is spliced from 3 exons. NCBI's taxonomy places the organism in Eukaryota, Metazoa, Arthropoda, Insecta, Diptera, Drosophilidae.